UGCUGGAGGUAUCAGAAGUGCGAAUGCUGACAUAAGUAACGAUAAAGCGGGUGAAAAGCCCGCUCGCCGGAAGACCAAGGGUUCCUGUCCAACGUUAAUCGGGGCAGGGUGAGUCGACCCCUAAGGCGAGGCCGAAAGGCGUAGUCGAUGGGAAACGGGUUAAUAUUCCCGUACUUGGUGUUACUGCGAAGGGGGGACGGAGAAGGCUAUGUUGGCCGGGCGACGGUUGUCCCGGUUUAAGCGUGUAGGUGUGUGUUCCAGGUAAAUCCGGUUCACUUUAACACUGAGGCGUGACGACGAGGCACUACGGUGCUGAAGCAACAAAUGCCCUGCUUCCAGGAAAAGCCUCUAAGCAUCAGGUAACAUCAAAUCGUACCCCAAACCGACACAGGUGGUCAGGUAGAGAAUACCAAGGCGCUUGAGAGAACUCGGGUGAAGGAACUAGGCAAAAUGGUGCCGUAACUUCGGGAGAAGGCACGCUGACACGUAGGUGAAGUGAUUUACUCACGGAGCUGAAGUCAGUCGAAGAUACCAGCUGGCUGCAACUGUUUAUUAAAAACACAGCACUGUGCAAACACGAAAGUGGACGUAUACGGUGUGACGCCUGCCCGGUGCCGGAAGGUUAAUUGAUGGGGUCAGCGCAAGCGAAGCUCCUGAUCGAAGCCCCGGUAAACGGCGGCCGUAACUAUAACGGUCCUAAGGUAGCGAAAUUCCUUGUCGGGUAAGUUCCGACCUGCACGAAUGGCGUAAUGAUGGCCAGGCUGUCUCCACCCGAGACUCAGUGAAAUUGAACUCGCUGUGAAGAUGCAGUGUACCCGCGGCAAGACGGAAAGACCCCGUGAACCUUUACUAUAGCUUGACACUGAACAUUGAGCCUUGAUGUGUAGGAUAGGUGGGAGGCUUUGAAGUGUGGACGCCAGUCUGCAUGGAGCCGACCUUGAAAUACCACCCUUUAAUGUUUGAUGUUCUAACGUGGACCCGUAAUCCGGGUUGCGGACAGUGUCUGGUGGGUAGUUUGACUGGGGCGGUCUCCUCCUAAAGAGUAACGGAGGAGCACGAAGGUUGGCUAAUCCUGGUCGGACAUCAGGAGGUUAGUGCAAUGGCAUAAGCCAGCUUGACUGCGAGCGUGACGGCGCGAGCAGGUGCGAAAGCAGGUCAUAGUGAUCCGGUGGUUCUGAAUGGAAGGGCCAUCGCUCAACGGAUAAAAGGUACUCCGGGGAUAACAGGCUGAUACCGCCCAAGAGUUCAUAUCGACGGCGGUGUUUGGCACCUCGAUGUCGGCUCAUCACAUCCUGGGGCUGAAGUAGGUCCCAAGGGUAUGGCUGUUCGCCAUUUAAAGUGGUACGCGAGCUGGGUUUAGAACGUCGUGAGACAGUUCGGUCCCUAUCUGCCGUGGGCGCUGGAGAACUGAGGGGGGCUGCUCCUAGUACGAGAGGACCGGAGUGGACGCAUCACUGGUGUUCGGGUUGUCAUGCCAAUGGCACUGCCCGGUAGCUAAAUGCGGAAGAGAUAAGUGCUGAAAGCAUCUAAGCACGAAACUUGCCCCGAGAUGAGUUCUCCCUGAGACUU
Molecule: ribosomal RNA, 1569 nt
Filed under: Salmonella enterica
Lineage: Bacteria; Pseudomonadati; Pseudomonadota; Gammaproteobacteria; Enterobacterales; Enterobacteriaceae
Description: bacterial LSU rRNA
Rfam family: Bacterial large subunit ribosomal RNA
Source: RNAcentral